UCCACGUGUGUGUGCCCAUGCAGCUUCUUAAGCACUCUCUGAAUUUCUCUAAAUGGCUCCUGCUUUAGUCCAGAAAUGCCACAGUUGCGAUCCCGUUCUCUUUGGUGGCACAAAUCGCAUUGCAGCACGUAUAGCAUGCAUAUUCAAUGCAACACUGGCCCAGCACAAUGAGGCUCCAUGGACUUGUAGUCAGAACUGCUUCUCUGAGGCGUGGCCAUAUCAGGCUGCUCUUUGGCGAUCUGACAUUCCUAAGCAAAGAGGAAGGAACUAGAAGGCACCCUGCCGUGAUUCCGUGCUGUGAUCCAGCUGUGCAGGGAGGCACAGUGACCUUCCAAUCUCCUCAUUCUUCCUCCCGAGAGGUAAAAAGCAAAGCAGACGGUGUCGUGUAAGAAACUGCCCACCACAUCAACAGCGUGCAGCACUGUUUCUCCUUUUCCUUCCUUCAAAACAGUUCCACUGAAACAGACCUACAAGGAACAACCCUUCAUUUCCUCUGUACUUCAUUUUGCAGACAGCAUGGGGCUGGGUGCAGUAGGAAGACAGUGCACAUCAUGUCUGCAGCUGCUUUGAGAUUCCACCUUUACCGAGCCACCACCAUUCCCCAGGAGAGGCUGGAAUUAGCACAGGCUAGACCACAUUACUGCCUGGCAAGGCAAUGACCCUGCUUCUGGCCAGGAGGCAGGCAAAGGUGAGAAGAACUAUUUGUAUCAGUGGAUGCCUCUGCCCAUGGGGUGACAGGGUCACAUGAGGAAACAAACAACCGAACAACUUCCAAACAUUUGGAUGUGACAGGGAACCUUUGCAGGGCCCCAUCUGUGGGUGCUGGCAUCAUCUCUGGUCCACCUUCUGACUCUCUAAGGUGCCUUUCGUCAUCUUCACGUUAAAUGCCAAGUUAUA
Molecule: long non-coding RNA, 897 nt
Organism: Onychomys torridus (southern grasshopper mouse)
Lineage: Eukaryota; Metazoa; Chordata; Mammalia; Rodentia; Cricetidae
Exons: 3
Source: RefSeq, a predicted model, not a curated record